GCAGCUGAAGCUCAGUUGGUUAGAGCGCCGGUCUGUGGAACCGGAGGUCGGUGGUUCGAACCCACCCAGCUGUACCA
This 77-nucleotide transfer RNA is filed under the name Hyphomicrobiales bacterium. RNAcentral describes it as "Rhizobiales bacterium tRNA-His". It matches the Rfam family "tRNA". From Rfam's summary of the family: Transfer RNA (tRNA) molecules are approximately 80 nucleotides in length. Their secondary structure includes four short double-helical elements and three loops (D, anti-codon, and T loops). The record is from RNAcentral. Lineage: Bacteria; Pseudomonadati; Pseudomonadota; Alphaproteobacteria; Hyphomicrobiales.